UGACUAGAGUUUGAUCCUGGCUCAGAUUGAACGCUGGCGGUAUGCUUAACACAUGCAAGUCGAACGGCAGCACGUUGUUUCUUUUCGGAGAAAUAAUGGUGGCGAGUGGCGGACGGGUGAGUAACGCGUAGGAAUCUGCCCUAAAGUGGGGGAUAACCCGGGGAAACCCGGGCUAAUACCGCAUAAUCUCUACGGAGCAAAGCUGGGGACCAGAGUUUACUUUGGCCUGGCGCUUUAGGAUGAGCCUGCGUCGGAUUAGCUAGUUGGUGGGGUAAAGGCCUACCAAGGUGACGAUCCGUAGCUGGUCUGAGAGGAUGAUCAGCCACACUGGGACUGAGACACGGCCCAGACUCCUACGGGAGGCAGCAGUGGGGAAUAUUGGACAAUGGGCGCAAGCCUGAUCCAGCAAUACCGCGUGUGUGAAGAAGGC
This 430-nucleotide ribosomal RNA is filed under the name uncultured Gammaproteobacteria bacterium. RNAcentral's name for it is "bacterial SSU rRNA". It matches the Rfam family "Bacterial small subunit ribosomal RNA", at positions 1 to 415 of the family's 1533-position model. The record is from RNAcentral. Lineage: Bacteria; Pseudomonadati; Pseudomonadota; Gammaproteobacteria.